UUUUUAUUUAGCUAUUUAGAUAUUAUAUAUACGGGUUGUCUAAGUAAUUAUUUUGAAGCCAAUCCUCGCUGCUAUUUUGUUAGGAAAGCCGAUUAUAUUUACUAAUUACUGGAUAUACAAAUUAAUAUAAUUUAUGUAUUAAAUGCUAUGCAAGGGUGAAUUUAUAACCUAAAAGUAUAGUACGCAAAUCCAUGAUCUUUCUAAAAAACUAGGUAGUGUAUACAUAUGUACUUAUGAUAUAUAUUUUUAAAGUGUAUGUAUAUAUUUUUUAAUGAUGUACUUGAUCAAAUGCUAUGUUAUUUAUCUAGAGGAUCGGGAUCAAUUCUCACUUAAUACAUUUCUUUCUUUUCUCAAUGGUGCUUCUUGGAAGCAUCAUCUUAUUCAUAAGUUACUUGGAAGAUCAAGUCGAACAUGUGAAGUAGAUAUCUCCAAAUGUUUGAUAUUGCAUGUACAAUUCUAAAUCCACAUCUCGAUUAUAUUCCUAAUUAUGAGUACUUAAAUUAAACCAAAAUAUCUUGAUUUAAGACUUUUCGUAGAUCAAUCCAGUGUUUUGAAACUUAUCGAUAUGUUUGGCACUCAAUAAAUUCGGAUGAGUUUUUGAGCAAGAAAUCACAUCAUGAACGGUUGCAAUUUUUUUAAUAUUAAUGAUAUAGUUUACUUUUUCUAAGCAGACAUGUUUAUCACUUAUUAAUCUCCCAUAAUUAAAGAAACGCAUACGACACUUCACUUGAGAUUACCCUUAAUAAGAAAAAUUAAUUGUUAAUGGUAAGAGGAAAUUUCGUAUAAGCAGAUACAUAUAUAAUUAGAAUAACAUUAUUGAUUUGGUCUUUCAAAAUAUACGUCAUUAACCUAAUAAAUUCAUUGACCACGUUGCAUGGAUCUUUAAAAGAUAAUAGUAGUAAUUAAUUAUGAUGACGGCCAAAACAAAAAUUUAUAACAUGAACUAUUAGCAGAAUAUAUGCGCAAAUUUAUAUCAUUUCAUUAUAACAAAAAUUAUGGCGAUAAAUUUUCUUUUUAGCCGUAUUGGUUACUGUUGUAAAAAUAUUUUAGGGCUAAUUGAGUUAAAUCAUUGGGUCCAGAAUAGCUAAAAUCUUUAAUGAUAUUUAUAUAGAAUAUAAUAUUGAUUAUAAGUUUUUAUAGUUGUAAUUGUUGACAAAUAUAAUAUAGCGAUAAUUAUAUUAUUUUCAUAAAAUUCUUUAUUUAUUGUAGUGCAUCCACUACUCUACAAUAGAAAAAAGGAAAAAAAAAAAAAAGACGAAGGAAUUUAAUUAUUACUCUUUCGGUUCCACUUUGUGCAACUAUUUCUGUUUGGAACGUCAAAUAGCUUUUUCUUUCAUUUAUAUUUUUAGUUGCCUCUUUAAUAUUUUGAAUCGUUAAUUAACAUCAUUUAUAAUACUUUUUUAAAGAUAUAAUUUUAAUUUUUUAAAACAAAAAUUUUAUGUUCAAAUUAACAUAAAAGUUAUUCACUUUCGUUGAAGGAGGUUUGAAAAUUUAAUGCAACUCCGCUUCUGAGUAAGUCCAUAUUUUAAACGGUGUAACAUAAAAUGAAACAGAGAAUAAGAAGGAUGAUUAAUGAGGAAUGGGUUUAUAAUAAAUUGAUGAGUUGUAUGAAAAUGAUAAGUAGGGUUAGGUCAAGUUUGGGUGUUGAAUUAAUUAUCUCCAAUUAAUUGCAUGAACCUACGAAAAAAGACCCAUGCACACGCAUUAUUGCAUUUGCAUGCAAUGUAUGUACUUAUUAGUAUAUCUUAAAUUCUAAUAAUUAAUUUUAUGAAACUUUCUUUUAAUAUAUGCAAGUCAUGACUUGUUAUAAUACAAUGCUUAGUCAACUAACUCUGGGUCAACACGCCAUCUCCAUGUCCUAAUAUAAUGAACUUCCUUAUGUUUGAUUAUAAGUUUCUCAUUAUUAAUCCUUUCUUUUACUUCUCUUUUGUCUUCACUUUUAUAUUUAAUUCGUAAAAAUAUAUUAUCACCAAUUCACCAUAGUCCAUCGGAUGUAGUGCAGUGAAUGAGACUAUUUCCUUAACAAGAGGUCUCGAGUUAUGUAUGAAUUUUUUUUUGAUAGGGAGCGCUUCCCCCGAAUAAGACCCUACACGGCGUGAAAAUCUGGGUGGGAAACUAAAAGAAAAAUUCCUAAGAAUAAUAAAAAUAUUAUUCACCUUUACUUUUUUAUUUUUUAUUUUUUUUAAAUAUAGGACUAAUUAGAUUCAAGUAUAAUUGUUUACAAAAUGAUUUCAAAUUAAAGAACAUGUUUAGAUUUCUGUUUGUUUGUUUCUUUUUCUUAAGAAGUUGUGUGCAUGUAUAUCGAAAUUCGAAGCGGAUGAAAUAGUUAAUUUUACCUUUUAAAUUGUACUUUUUCUGGAAUUUUUUUUGAUUUAAAAAACUUAGGAGAUAUCAAUAUUCAAAAUUUCAAAUCAUCCAUCAUUUUGGACGUAUUUCUUACGUUAAUAGUUAUUCAAUCCGUAAUUCUCAAACAAUUAUUGGGCUUCCGUUUGAUGACUUCUAUUUUAUUGUUUACUUUACUCUCUUUAUAAGCUAACUGAUGUACAAGGUUGUCAUUUCAUAUAAGAUGAAGUGUAUGCUGGGAAAUUAUUAGAAAUAACGAAAAUUCUUAUAGCUUGAGACGUGAUAAAAGUAAAUCGCACAACAUUUAACAAAUUCGUCUUUAUGAACUAAAACAAUAAAAUUUAAAUUGUGUUGAAGGGCCCAUUAAAAAAAUCCCAAAUCACUUUCUACAAUGAAUUUUCUCUCUAUAGUAUAUUAUCAUCACUCUAAGCCAUGACGUGUGAUUAAAUGUAGCGGGAUUCAAUUCAUCCACUUCAAUUCGCAUUAGAACUUCAAUUAAAUUUGAAUCAUGCAUUGCAGGGCCUACUUGAGGUGGCGCUCCUAACAAAAUUUUCUCCAUACACAAACUCGGAUACAAACUUCUAAUUAAGAAUAAAGCAGCCUUAUAAUUACUGCACUACAGCCCAUAUUGAUAUCACCCAUACAUUACUAAGACAAUAUUUUAGAAAACAAACCUAAGAAAAAAAAACAUGUCAUUAUUUUUGAAAUAGAGUAUUCUCUCAAAAGAACAUUAUUUUUAGGGAUAAGAUACAAUUAUCCCCCUAGAUUGCUAUGACCGAAAUCCCAGAAGACAUACUUUAACUAAACUAAGGUCCUAUUACCCCCUCGAACUCAAUUUUUUUUUGUAAUUUUAUACAUCUUUUGACUUACGUGACACACUCCGUGACUCCGCACAGUUGAGGCGCGUAAAAGAUGUUUGGAUGCCACGUAAGCCAAAGAGGUGUAUAAAAUUACAAAAAAAUUGAGUUCGAGAGGAUAAUAGGAACUUUGUUUAGUUAAUGUGUGUCUCUGAAAUUUCGAUCAUAGUCUAAGGGGAUACUUGUACCAUGUCCCAUAUUUUUAUAAGUAUAUUUUCUUUAGUAAGAUUUGUCCACAUUGUGGUGGCAAUUUUUAAUGAAAGUGGACAAAAUAACGAUCAACUUAUGGUAAACCAUAUUCUACUAUUCUAGAGGGCAAUAAUAUUACUCACUCCGUCUACUUUACGUAACAACAUUUUGCCUUCACAUAAAAUUUAAAAAGAAUAAAAAAUUUAAAAUUACGUAUUUUAGAUAUUUAUAUAAUUAUAAAUUAAAAGAUAAUUUUAAAAUUAAAUUAUUUUUAAUUAUAAAAAGAUUGAAAUUUAUUUUUAAUUAUAAAAAGUGGGUAAUUGAUAAUCCCCUCAAAUUCAUAUAAUAAUAGAUACUUAACUUUAUAUUGCCGUUUGCCGAACAUGAUUUUAUUAAUAUUGCCGAUCGCCGAACGUAUUCAUCGUAAAACCUUUUGUUUUAUUCUAUCUGUUCCAAUUUAUAUAUACAAUAUUUUUCAAAUUUUGAGAGUUAAACAAACUUUUUUUUAACCACAAUCUUCAUUAUUGAUAUAUUUUAAAUUGACAAGUAUCGUAAUUUAUAUUACUUGUUAUAUAGUUUUCAAAUAUGUAAAUUUUAUUAUAAAUAUAUUUUAGUUUUAUAUUCAAAUUCAUGGUCGAAAUGAAAUUGAUUGUAAGAAUACGGAAAAUACCACGUAAAUUGAAAUCAAAGGAGUAUAUAGGAUAAAAAGAAGUCAACAUUAUAUUUCUUGAGGUCCUGAUGUUUAGGGUGUUUGAACAGUCUUUUUUGAAAAUAUUGUUUAGAGAAGUUCUCUAAUAAAAAUAAAACCAUAAUUAGAUAAUCAUUUUCCUCCUUUUUUUUUUUUUUGCCAACUUUGUGAUAUUCCUAGGGAAAAUCAUAAGUACCUCCGGCUUAUGCCCAAAAUUUUUGAGACACAUCUAAUUUUUACUAAGGUCCUGUUAUUCUCCGAAUUUAUUUUAUAUAUAAUUUUCUACCCAUUUUCAGUCUACGUGGUACUAUCUUGUGGGCCCAACGUGUGUUGAUAAUUUUUUCAAGAAUAGUGCACGUAGGCCGAAAAGGGGUAGAAAAUUAAUUAAAAAAUAAGUUGGGGGGGGGGAGUACUUAUGCAUUUUCCCAUAUUCCUAAAAACCUUUUGCAGUUUCUUAAGUCAAAAAAUAUUUAUUCUGCUUAAUAUUUUUUUAAAAAAAAAUAGAGUCAAAUAGACAAGAAGAUAUGUUCGAAAACUUUGGAUUUUCUUAAAUUUUGCCACCAACUUGGCUCUAGUUGCAACAUAGGACAUUAAGACGAUGAUGGGCGUGUUUGGUAUGAAGGAAAAUAUUUUCUGGAAAAUGUUUUUCAAUUUUCUUAUGUUUAGUUGGGUUAAAUGUUUUGGAAAAUGUUUUUCAAAUCAAUUCAUUUUUCUCAAAUUUAAGGAAAAUGACUUUCCUUCAAAACUUAAUGAAAACAUUUUCCAAAACUCUCUUCCAACUUUAAAUUACAAUUACUUUUUUGUUGAAAAAAUCAAUUUAUUUUGUCCCUAUCCUCAAACCAGCUCCACAACCACCCCCUUCCCCAAUUUUUUUUUUUAUAUAAUUUUAAAGCUUAUUUUUAAAUUCAAUUCCUUUACCCCGCCCUCACCCCUACCCCCACCCCUCACAAAAAAAUAUUAAAAAUUAUUUUAAAAGAUAUUUCUAAUUUCAAUUUUUUAUUUUUACCCCUUACCCUAUCAUCCCCCACCCCCUUCAAAAGAAAAAAUUUAAGUUUGUUUUUAAAAAAUAUUUUCAACUUACAAAAUUUCAAUAUUUCACCCCUACCUUCGAUCCCCCCCUCACCCACCCCCUACCACGCCCCACCCCAAAAAAAAUUUAAGUUUGUUUUUAAAAAAUAUUUUCAACUUACAAAAUUUCAAUAUUUCACCCCUACCUUCGAUCCCCCCCUCACCCACCCCCUACCACGCCCCACCCCAAAAAAAAUUUAAGUUUGUUUUUAAAAAAUAUUUUCAACUUACAAAAUUUCAAUAUUUCACCCCUACCUUCGAUCCCCCCCUCACCCACCCCCUACCACGCCCCACCCCAAAAAAAAUUUAAGUUUGUUUUUAAAAAAUAUUUUCAACUUACAAAAUUUCAAUAUUUCACCCCUACCUUCGAUCCCCCCCUCACCCACCCCCUACCACGCCCCACCCCAAAAAAAAUUUAAGUUUGUUUUUAAAAAAUAUUUUCAACUUACAAAAUUUCAAUAUUUCACCCCUACCUUCGAUCCCCCCCUCACCCACCCCCUACCACGCCCCACCCCAAAAAAAAUUUAAGUUUGUUUUUAAAAAAUAUUUUCAACUUACAAAAUUUCAAUAUUUCACCCCUACCUUCGAUCCCCCCCUCACCCACCCCCUACCACGCCCCACCCCAAAAAAAAUUUAAGUUUGUUUUUAAAAAAUAUUUUCAACUUACAAAAUUUCAAUAUUUCACCCCUACCUUCGAUCCCCCCCUCACCCACCCCCUACCACGCCCCACCCCAAAAAAAAUUUAAGUUUGUUUUUAAAAAAUAUUUUCAACUUACAAAAUUUCAAUAUUUCACCCCUACCUUCGAUCCCCCCCUCACCCACCCCCUACCACGCCCCACCCCAAAAAAAAUUUAAGUUUGUUUUUAAAAAAUAUUUUCAACUUACAAAAUUUCAAUAUUUCACCCCUACCUUCGAUCCCCCCCUCACCCACCCCCUACCACGCCCCACCCCAAAAAAAAUUUAAGUUUGUUUUUAAAAAAUAUUUUUCAAUUUCAAAUAUUAUUUUUCUACUCUAGUAAAAAUAAAAGAUAUUUUUCAAAAAUAUUUUUCAUUCAUAAAUCAAACACUAAAAAUCUUUUCCGGAAAAUAUUUUCACUCUCCAAUCAAACAUGAGUAAAUAAGUCAAAAAUCAACUUGUUUUCCAGAAAAACAUUUUCCAUGGAAAACAUUUUCCUUCAUACCAAACACACCCGAUAUUCUAAACCAUAAUUAAAAUGUCAUUCUACAUCGACCUUGUUCUAAACAUAAUUUUUUUUUAAAAAAAAUUGGCCCUUCUUAAAACAAAUUAAUUAAAUAGUAAAAGACAUGUAAAUUAAAAUAAUUUUUCAUUUGAAAAAAUAGGUCAGAAUAUUACAUUAUUAUAUCAUCCGUUUACACUUUACAUAUUUAUUGUUCAACUACUCUCCUCAGCUAAAUUGAAUUAUUCUCUUGUUCUAUUACUAAUUUCUAAAAUAUAAUAAUUUUUAAAAAUAGCACUUUACAUAUGACCAAAGUAUCCAAAUUACGUUCAUUAAUAGCAAAAUAUUAAAUUAGUAAAUUCAUGUCUUUUCCAAGUUUGAAAGCAAACAUUUGUUCUGAGCACAAAGUCUAGUCAUUUAUAGAAAAGUAUUCAAUAUCUAAUUCAAUAUAAAACUAGAAAAAAUAUAUAAAAAUUAAAUAAAAAUCAAACACCUUCCUAAUUACUUCCAUUAGAACUCUUAAUUGUGUUUCUAAUAAUAAUGUAUACUUUGGUUUCCACAUACACGCCUAAGAUUAAAUUUUAAUUCAUGUCGAAAAAUUCAACCAUAGUGUGUAAAACCUCGUUAACAAAAAUAUUUCAUACACAAGAUUCAAAUUCAAAAUCUUUAUUUGAAGGAGUCAGUAAUUUUAUACUCAAAACUUGAACUCGAAAUCUUUUUUUCUGAAAGAGUCAUGACUUUAUACUCAAAAUUUAAAUUCAAAAGUAACGAUUUCAUACUUAAGGCUCGAACUCAUAAUUGUUUGUAAGGAGUACUUAGGACCGCACCAUUUUUUUUAAAGCGGUUAUAUGCCUAAAAUUCCACGUAAAGGAAGCGGUCAACUAACUCCUUCGAAUUUGUCAUCACCUACUUCACCUUCCUUUUCCCUUUCUCUUUCAAAAAUCUAUAUAAUCUAAGCUACUUCACCCCAAUUUUUCAACAAAUAUUUCAAUUUUCUUGAUUCAAUCGUCACAAAUCCUAAGAAAACCAAUUCUUGCAAUAUUUUGGGACUUACCCAAGUUCUUGAAUUUGAGUUUUUACAGGACAAAAAAAAAACAGAGCACAAAUAUGAAUAAACUUUUAACAACUUUAUUAUUUUCAUCAAUCUUGAUUUCAACUCUAUUUUCUACUAGUUAUGGUCAGAAUCAAAAUUGCUCUGCUUUUGCAUUCAGAAAUAACCAAAUAUUUGCAACUUGUAAUGCUCUGCCUCUACUAAACUCUGUUCUUCAUUGGAGUUACCAUCCAGAUAACCAUACAGUUGAUCUUGCUUACAGACAUGGAGGUGUACCAAAUACAGAUUGGGUAGCUUGGGGUUUAAAUAUUGACGGAACAAGGAUGGUUGGUUCACAAUGUUUAGUUGCAUUUAGAAAUUCUAGUGGAGAAAUUCAUGCUUAUACUUCCCCUGUUUCUAGUUAUGGAACUCAGUUAGCAGAGGGGGCUUUGAGUUUCAAUGUUCCGAGAAUUGGAGCUGAGUAUUCGAAUAAUGAGUUUAUUAUUUUUGCAACUUUGGAACUUCCUGCUGGAAGGACUAGUUUUAAUCAAGCUUGGCAAAAUGGUGCUGUUUCUGGUCAGGCUUUGACUGCUCAUGUUCAGUCUGGUGAUAAUAUGAGGUCUUUUGGAAGUAUUGAUUUUGCUAAUGGAGAGUUAGGUGGUGGUGGUAGCUCAGUUACUUCUAGACAACGUAGAAGAAAUGUGAGUUUUCGCAUACCCUUUCUUUAUUUCGUUGGAAUUUAACUUAUAUAUACUGACAGUAGAUAUUGAUUAGAGUUGGUUUGGAUAAAAGGCAUGAAGAACUUACUCGCUGCUCCGGCUGCCUUCUUGGCAGGUGGAGCGCUUGUCAUCCUGACUUUUCUCUCUUCUCGGACACUCUUAUUGCCAUAGUUAUAGGAAAUGGGAGUAUUGAUUUUUAGACUAUCACUACUUUUUAAUCUAUUAGGGUUUGUUUGAUACGAGGGAUUAGGAUGGAUUUAUCUCAUGUUUGAUUGAGAUAAAAUCGUGGGAUAACUUGUUUUGUUUCCCAACCAAACGAGCCCUUAUAAUAUGUACAUAAAUUGUUUUAUUUUUCAUCUUGCUAGUCUCGCUUGUUAUAUGGACGGUGUCCUAUAGUUAUCUUUUAGGUAAAGGUGGAUGCGUAACCUAGUUUAAACUCAAUAUUUUCAAUACAUAACCUAUUAUCUCGAAAGUCCAAUUGAUUCAACCGUAAGUUGAACUCAUCAAGUUUAAAUUAUGGAAUUGCGUUCUAAUUUUAGGUAACGUGAUAUAAACAGCGCGAAAGCUACAUAUCUGUCCCCAAAUAAAUUGGGGUUGACUAUAUGAAUUCUCGCUGACCAUAUUACUCAUUUUUUGUAUCCACUACCCCCAACAAAAUAAUUAGAAGAAACAAAGAAUUUGACAUGUUUGAUAUCUUGAAAAUUUGGCAGGUUCAUGGAAUACUGAAUGCAGUGAGUUGGGGAGUGUUAAUGCCAAUGGGUGCAGUAUUUGCAAGGUACUUGAAGGUUUUCAAAGCAGCAAAUCCAGCUUGGUUUUAUAUACAUGUUGCUUGUCAAACUUCUGCCUAUAUUGUUGGUGUUGCUGGAUGGGGAACUGGUCUCAAACUUGGCAGUGAUUCUACCGGUAUCGAAUUCACUACUCACAGGAACAUUGGCAUCACUCUCUUUUGCCUCGGAACUCUUCAGGUAACCAUCAAAACGCAUUAACUCUAAAUCUUGAAUUCACUAAUACAUUAAUAUCUCACAAAUAUACAUUUGCCGGCUAUAAUUUUGGUGUACGUCUGAAAAAAUCCCUUUUGGGGGAUUUAGUACAUAGCCGACCCCUCAAACUUGUCCUCUUUUUUCAUUAAGACACAUGAACUAAGGGUUAUACACAUUUGAUAUAGUAAGUGCGACAGGUUCAACUGAAUUACCUGUUUUUACUUAUUUGACCGCAUUAACUAUAAAUCUUGAAUUCACUUAUGUAUACACUUGUCAACACAUAAAAGACCGGACCCUUAAAUAAAGAGCAACAAAUUUUCCCUUUUUUUGGCUUAAUACAUAGACGCCCCCUUCAAACUUGCCCGAUUUUUUUUCAUUUAGACCUGAACUAAGGAUUAUACCCGACCUUCAUUGUUACUAAUUUGUAUGAUUACAAACUUUGUAGGUAUUUGCUUUGCUUCUGAGGCCAAAGCCAGACCACAAGUACAGAUUAUACUGGAACAUCUACCACCAUGCUGUUGGAUACGCGGUAAUAAGUCUGGCCAUCACCAAUGUUUUCCAAGGAUUUGAUGCAUUGAAUGGACAGAAGAAUUGGAAGAGGGCUUACACUGGUGUGAUCAUAGCCAUAGGUGCCAUUGCUGUUUUAUUAGAAGCCUUUACUUGGUUCAUUGUCAUCAAAAGGAAAAAAACAGACUCUAACAAGCACACACAAAAUGGAACAAAUGGUACUGUUAAUCCUUAUGGAAAUGGGACUCAUCAACAGGCAUAAGUUAACUUAAAUAAUGUCACUUUGAACAUUUUUGUAUGUUUAUAUGUUUUUUGUUGUUUGGUCAGAUUUUGGUUCUUUUUUUCCUUCUUUUUAAUCUUUGCAGAUUGAUAUAUAUUCUUGUAUACAUCAUAUAUGUUGAGAGACCACCUAUUUGUGGUUUUAUUUAUUACUACUAGUAUCCUUUUUUCAUUCACUUUCAAUGUUUGAAUUUAAUUUCUGUACACUAGCAAUAUAACUUGCGAGAAGAGUAACUACUUGAGACAUGCUCAAGUUAAUAGCUUCGAAAUAUAUAAUAAUAAUAAUAAUAACCUACUAUAACUAUUUAAAGUUAUUCGAUAGUGUAAAUUUUUUGAUUAUUCGAUAGUAUAAUUUUUUUGUCACAAAAGUCCCGAAAACAGCCUCUAGCAGAAAAGUAAGAUAAGACUGCAUACAAUAGGCCCUUAUGGUUGGGCCCUUUAUCGGGCUGCCUUUUCGUCAUAAGCAAUCCACAAAAAAAAAGGUUAAAAGAAUUAAUAGUUUGCCAAGUGGCAUAUUGUCAUCAGGUUAGAAUAAGAGCAACUUUCACAUAUAACAAAUAUAACAAUCACAUUUGUAUGUUAUAGCUAUAGUUUGCAUAAUUGCGCUCCAUAGCAAACAUAAAGUUUGUUAUGACUAUUAAUAUGUAUAUUUCGCUAUACAUAUACAAAAGAAGCAAUUGUAUAAUCUGUUUCGGUAUACAUAUACAAAAGAAUCAAUCGUAUAAUUUGUGUUAGUAUAAAGUAAGAAAGAGAGAAAGACAAAAGAAAACUGGGCAGGGGAAGAUCGUAUUUGUAUAAUCAUCAUAAGUGUAUAGGAAGAAAAUAUAUGUAUUUGUGUUUAUAUAUACAAUUUUCUCUCGCUUUAUACAAAAACAAACGCAAUGUAUACAUUUGUGUUUGUAUAAAGUGAGAGAGGCGAGUGAGAUCGGGGAGAGUGACGAGCGAGAUCUGAGAGAGUGGCGAGCAAGAUCUGGGAGAGGGGAGAGAGGGGAAUGAAAAUAUAUAUACAAUUUUCUUUCGCUUUAUACAAACACAAACACAUUUUAUACAUUUGUGUUUGUAUAAAAGUGAGAGAGGCGAGGGACACUGCCCAGCGAGAACGAGAGUGGCGAGCGAGAUUCACCAGGGAGAGAGGUGAAAUAGAAACAGUUUGUUAUGGGGUACAAUUAAAUCAAACUAUGGAAAUUACAUUUAAUUUGAAUUAAUAAUUUGUUAUUAUAUACAAUUUUCCAUUAGGAAAACAUGAAUUGGGCCUUCUAGAAGUUGAGACUUAAAAAAUAAAUUACUCCCUCCAUUUCAAAUUAAUUGAAUUGUUGAGGUGUUUCACACCCUUUAAGAAAAGAAGAUUAAGACAUAAAUUAAGCAUAACUUUCCAUUUUACCCUUAUUAAUUAUUGUCAAAUUUCUGAUUAAAAUAACUAAACAUUAAUUAAUAACUAAUUCCAAUACUAACUAAUGAAGGGUAAAAUUAAAAGAACAUUCUAAUAAUAGUUUUGAAAAUUGAGCAAUUAAGUUAAUUUAAAAAAUAAAAAAUGUCUCAACAAUUCAAUUAAUAUGAAAUGGAUGGAGUAAAGAAGUGAAAUAGGAAGAGGCAAAGUUGAGAAGCACUAAUUACAAAUGCAAGCAAAGUCGUUCUCUAGAAGAAUGCUCCAUUAUUAGUCAAUACCUGAUUUGCCAAUUGUUUUUAAUCAAGUUGACCUAAUUAGUACGAAAUUAGCAGUACUUUUAUAUUCAGUUUGUUUUUGAAAGAGUUAAAAAGGGCAAAAACACGUUUAAGCUAUUCCACUUUAUUGAGUUUCAUACAUAACUUAUUGAGAGUAAAAGUUUUCUACUUGAACUAUCAUUCAAUGAUUAGGAAACACACCUAGAUGUUGACUAGACCAAAUGUUUGUCUAGAAAUGCUUCUUGCCGCAUCUGUCGAUAAAAUUUUCAUCUACCUAACAUAUAUAAUGACUCUCUUUGUUUGGCACGUUAAUUUUUUUAAUUGGCCUUUUUACAACCUUAAAUUCUCACCUUUCAAGUCGAAGAAAUCAAUGUCACGCCAAAAGAGACCACGGCUAAGAAGGUGGAGAAGAUGCUGGUGGAUGUCAUAGUUAAAAUAAAUUAAAUUAAAUUAUAUGGUAAUAGUUUUAACCUUUAACCUAAUAUUGAUUUAUUUAAAUUUGUCACGGUGAAAUUAUUUUUUCACAUGGAGUGUCACAUGAUAGUAUAUUUAAACAAAAAAGAAAUUACACACAUUAUUAGAAAUUAAUCGAGUUGUGUUUUGCUAACUAUUAAGUGAUAGUUCAGAUAGGAAACUCAUACUCAGUAAUUCAAGUAUAAAACUCAAAAAUUUGGAUAGUUAAGUGUUUAUAACUCUUAAAUAUUAAAAGGAACAAUUCAAACUCAACAGGACGAAUACUAUAUUUGUAUACUAAUAAUGUGUGUGAGUAAUUCGGUGGAGGACAAAAAGUAGAAAGUGAGGCAGAAAUUAAAAAUAAUUCGGAUAUGUAAAGAGUAUAUGCACAAAUGCUUCUUAUGCGGAGGUUUGAGUAUAGGAGAGGUUGACUAUGAAUGAACUUAGGAGAGGAGGAGGUAGAUCGAAAAAGUAUUGGAGAGAGGUAAUUAUUAGAUAGGACAAUUUCAAUUUAUCGAGAACAUGACCUUAGAUAAGAGGUUGUAAAGUACACAAAUUAGAGUGGAAGGUUAGCAGGUAAUAGCACGUUGUCUUACUUAUCUUUUCAUACUAGGAGUCGUACGUAAUAUUACUUUUGUAGUUUCAUGUCCUUUUAAUUAUGUUAGUAUUUGAUUUUCUUGUACUUCGAUAAUGUUAUGCUUAUGUUUCUUUCUUCUUCUUUUUUUUAAGAAUAUUUUGACAUGCUUUCUAUAAUAUUUUACCAUGAAUUCUUCAUUUUUCUUGAUUUACUUUAAAAUAUAUUUUUUUGAGACAAGGGUCUAUCAAAAAUAGUUUCUCUAUCUUUCAAGGUAAGGUUUAAGUAUGUUACAAGACAACAACUAAUGCAAGCAAUAAUAACUAAAAGAAAGAAACUCAAGUUCCUAUUAAAAAUAGAUUUUUCAUGUUUAGUUGAUCAAAAUGUGAUAUUUUCUCUUUAAAAACAAGUUUAGGAAAGUAUUUAUAACUAAUGCAUGACAAACAAUAGUAUUAGGAAUGCAAAGAUUUUUUGAUGCAUGCAUUAACAUAGUUAAAGACACAAUUGUUUCUUAAAACUUUUUUCACUUUCUUUUCACCUUAUUUUUGGAGUGUAUUUUUUAUAAAUGAAUUAGAGUAUUUAAAAAUUAUGCAAUACAUAUAUUUUUAAUUAAUAUACCAAAACAAAUGGUGUAUCAAAAAUAUUCUUUUCAUAACUAAUACCAAUAUUACUAAUGUCAACAUUACUAGUUCUUAUUCAACAAUAUUUUUAUACAUCCUACCAAACGACUUCGAAAUAUUUUAUUAAAUAACACAUAUAAAUACUUUUGAAUAAUAAUUUUUAUUUACUUAUCAAACACUAAAUAAUUAUUAUUAUUUCCCUAGAAAAGUUUUUAGAAAACAUUUUCAUUUGUACCAAUCACACUUUUUUCCCCCACUAGAUAUCACCCAUAUUAAAGUCAAACUAUUUUAACUUCGUACCACGACAUAAGACCCCAUUAAAAGAAGAGUAAAUUUCAGAAAUAACAACGAUAAUAAACAUAACACGACUCUAUAAAAAUAAUUUCAGUAAUUGUACUCUGUAACUAUAGUUUUGUUUGCUAUGUACGCUGCAGUUUGUAUAUUUCACUUUCCCAUUUGUAUAUGACCAAAAUAUCCAAAUUACGUUCAUUAAUAGCAAAAUAUUAAAUAAGUAAAUUCAAGACUUUUCCAAGUUUGAAAGCAAAGAUUUGUUCUGAGCACAAAGUCUAGUCAUUUAUAAAAAAGUAUUCAAUAUAAAACUAGAAAAAAUAUAAAAAAUAAAUAAAAAUCAAACACCUUCCUAGUUACUUCCAUUAGAACUCUUAAUUGUGUUUCUAGUAAUGUAUACUUUGGUUUCCACGUAUACGCCUAAGAUUCUUCUUUUACUUUUUUCCUCCAAUCUUCGAUAUAUAUAUUAAAUGAUUAAAUUUUGAUUUAUGUAGAAAAAUUCAACCAUAGUGUGUAAAACCAAGUCAACAAAAACAUUUCGUACUCAGGGUUCAAAUUAAAUUAUUAAUUUUUGAAGGAGUUAGUAUUUUCAUACUCAAAAAACUCGAACUCAAAAAUUUAUUUUUUCUGAAUGAGUCGUGAUUUCAUACUCAAAACUUGAAAAUAGCAAUUUCAUACUUGGAACUUGAAUUGACAAUUUUUUUAAGGAGUACUUACGACCGCACUAGUAUUUCUUUUCAGCGGUUAAAUGCCUAAAAUUCCACGUAAAGGAAGCGGUCAACUAACUCCUUCGAAUUUGUCAUCACCUUUCUUUCCAAAAUCUAUAUAAUCUAAUCCCCCUUACCCCAAUUUUUCAACAAAUAUUUCAAUUUUCUUGAUUCAAUCAUCCCAAAUCCCAAGAAAACCAAUUCUUGCAACAUUUUGGGACUUACCCAAGUUCUUGAAUUUGAGUUUUUGCUGAACAAAAAAAACAGAGCACAAUUAUGGAUAAACUUUUAACUUCAUUAUUUUCAUCAAUCUUGAUUUUAGGUCUAUUUUAUACUAGUUAUGGUCAGAAUCAAAAUUGCUCAGCUUUUGCAUUCAGAAAUAACCAGAUAUUUGCAACUUGUAAUGCUCUGCCUCUACUAAACUCUGUUCUUCACUGGAGUUACCAUCCAGAUAACCAUACAGUUGAUCUUGCUUACAGACAUGGAGGUGUACCAAAUACAGAUUGGGUAGCUUGGGGUUUAAAUAUUGAUGGAACAAGGAUGGUUGGUUCACAAUGUUUAGUUGCAUUUAGAAAUUCUAGUGGAGAAAUUCAUGCUUAUACUUCCCCUGUUUCUAGUUAUGGAACUCAGUUAGCAGAGGGGGCUUUGAGUUUCAAUGUUCCGAGAAUUGGAGCUGAGUAUUCGAAUAAUGAGUUUAUUAUUUUUGCAACUUUGGAACUUCCUGCUGGAAGGACUAGUUUUAAUCAAGCUUGGCAAAAUGGUGCUGUUUCUGGUCAGGCUUUGACUGCUCAUGUUCAGUCUGGUGAUAAUAUGAGGUCUUUUGGAAGUAUUGAUUUUGCUAAUGGAGAGUUAGGUGGUGGUGGUAGCUCAGUUACUUCUAGACAACGUAGAAGAAAUGUGAGUUUUCGCAUACCCUUUCUUUAUUUCGUUGAAAUUUAAUUUAUAUAUACUGACAGUAGGUAUCGAUUAGAGUUGGUUUGGAUAACAGGCAUCAAGCACUUGCUCGCUGCUCCGGCUGCCUUCUUGGCAGGUGGAGCGCUUGUCAUCCUGACUUUUCUCUCUUCUCGGGCGCUCUUAUUGCCAUACUUAUAAGAAAUGGGAGUAUUGAUUUUUACACUACUAGUGUUUUUUAAUCUGUUAGGGUUUGUUUGGUACGAGGGAUAAAGAGAUAAUUAAUCAUGAGAUUGAUUUUAGGAUGAGUUUAUUUGCGGGAUAACUUGUUUUCCAACCAAAUGAACCCUUAUAAUAUCAUAACCUAGUUUAAUAGACUCGAUUGAAUUCAUGCAUAACCUAUGAUCUCGAAGGUCCAAUUGAUUCAAUCGUAAGUUGAACUCAUCAAAUUUAAAUUGUGGAAUUGAAUUCUAAUUUUAGGUGAUGUGAUACAACGCGAAAACUACAUACAAAUUGGGGUCAACUAUAUGAAUCCUUGCUGACCAUAUUACUCAUUUUUGUAUACACUACCCCCAACAAAAUAAUUAGAAGCAACAAGGAAUUUGACAUGUUUGAUAUCUUGAAAAUUUGACAGGUUCAUGGAGUAUUGAAUGCAGUAAGUUGGGGAGUGUUAAUGCCAAUGGGAGCAGUAUUUGCAAGGUACUUGAAGGUUUUCAAAGCAGCGAAUCCAGCGUGGUUUUAUAUACAUGUUGCUUGUCAAACUUCUGCCUAUAUUGUUGGCAUUGCUGGAUGGGGAACUGGUCUCAAACUUGGCAGUGAUUCUACGGGUAUCGAAUUCACUACUCACAGGAACAUUGGCAUCACUCUCUUUUGCCUCGGAACUCUUCAGGUAACCAUCUAAACGGCAUUAACUAUAAAUCUUGAAUUCACUUAUGCAAGCACUUGUACACACAUAAAAAUACCGGUCCCUUAAAUAAAGAGCAACAAAAUAUCCCCCUUUUUGGCUUAAUACAUAGGCACCUCCCUCGUACUUGCCCCAUUUUUUUUCAUUUAGACACCUGAACUAAGGAUUAUACNNNNNNNNNNNNNNNNNNNNNNNNNNNNNNNNNNNNNNNNNNNNNNNNNNNNNNNNNNNNNNNNNNNNNNNNNNNNNNNNNNNNNNNNNNNNNNNNNNNNNNNNNNNNNNNNNNNNNNNNNNNNNNNNNNNNNNNNNNNNNNNNNNNNNNNNNNNNNNNNNNNNNNNNNNNNNNNNNNNNNNNNNNNNNNNNNNNNNNNNNNNNNNNNNNNNNNNNNNNNNNNNNNNNNNNNNNNNNNNNNNNNNNNNNNNNNNNNNNNNNNNNNNNNNNNNNNNNNNNNNNNNNNNNNNNNNNNNNNNNNNNNNNNNNNNNNNNNNNNNNNNNNNNNNNNNNNNNNNNNNNNNNNNNNNNNNNNNNNNNNNNNNNNNNNNNNNNNNNNNNNNNNNNNNNNNNNNNNNNNNNNNNNNNNNNNNNNNNNNNNNNNNNNNNNNNNNNNNNNNNNNNNNNNNNNNNNNNNNNNNNNNNNNNNNNNNNNNNNNNNNNNNNNNNNNNNNNNNNNNNNNNNNNNNNNNNNNNNNNNNNNNNNNNNNNNNNNNNNNNNNNNNNNNNNNNNNNNNNNNNNNNNNNNNNNNNNNNNNNNNNNNNNNNNNNNNNNNNNNNNNNNNNNNNNNNNNNNNNNNNNNNNNNNNNNNNNNNNNNNNNNNNNNNNNNNNNNNNNNNNNNNNNNNNNNNNNNNNNNNNNNNNNNNNNNNNNNNNNNNNNNNNNNNNNNNNNNNNNNNNNNNNNNNNNNNNNNNNNNNNNNNNNNNNNNNNNNNNNNNNNNNNNNNNNNNNNNNNNNNNNNNNNNNNNNNNNNNNNNNNNNNNNNNNNNNNNNNNNNNNNNNNNNNNNNNNNNNNNNNNNNNNNNNNNNNNNNNNNNNNNNNNNNNNNNNNNNNNNNNNNNNNNNNNNNNNNNNNNNNNNNNNNNNNNNNNNNNNNNNNNNNNNNNNNNNNNNNNNNNNNNNNNNNNNNNNNNNNNNNNNNNNNNNNNNNNNNNNNNNNNNNNNNNNNNNNNNNNNNNNNNNNNNNNNNNNNNNNNNNNNNNNNNNNNNNNNNNNNNNNNNNNNNNNNNNNNNNNNNNNNNNNNNNNNNNNNNNNNNNNNNNNNNNNNNNNNNNNNNNNNNNNNNNNNNNNNNNNNNNNNNNNNNNNNNNNNNNNNNNNNNNNNNNNNNNNNNNNNNNNNNNNNNNNNNNNNNNNNNNNNNNNNNNNNNNNNNNNNNNNNNNNNNNNNNNNNNNNNNNNNNNNNNNNNNNNNNNNNNNUAUAUACAAUUUUCUCUCGCUUUAUACAAACACAAACACAUUUUAUAUGUUUGUGUUUGUAUAAAAGCGAGAGGGGCGAGUGAGACUGCCCAGCGAAAACGAGAGUGGCGAGCGAGAUUCACCAGGGAGAGAGGCGAAAUAGCAACAGUUUGCUAUGGGGUACAAUUAAAUCAAACUAUGGUUAUAACAUUUAAUUUGAAUUAAUAGUUUGCUAUUAUAUACUAUUUUCCCUUAGAAGAACAUGAAUUAGGUCUUCUAGAAGUUGAGACUUAAAAAAUAAAUUACUCCCUCCAUUUCAAAUUAAUUGAAUUGUUGAGGUGUUUCACACCCUUUAAGAAAAGAAGAUUAAGAUAUAAAUUAGGCAUAACUUUCCAUUUUUACCCUUAUUAAUUAUUGUCAAAUUUGUGAUUAAAAUAACUAAACAUUAAUUAAUAACUAAUUCUAAUACUAACUAAUGAAGGGUAAAAUUGGAAGAACAUUCUAAUAAUAGCUUUGAAGAUUGAAUAAUUAAGUUAAUUUAAAAAAUAAAAAAUAUCUCAACAAUUCAAUUAAUAUGAAAUCGAGGGAGUAAAGAAGUGGAAUAGGAAGAGGCAAAGUUGAGAAGCACUAAUUGCAAAUGCAAGCAAAGUCGUUCUCUAGAAGAAUGCUCCAUUAUUAGUCAAUACCUGAUUUGCCAAUUUUUUUAAAAUCAAGUUGACCUAAUUAGUACGAAAUUAGCAGUACUUUUAUAUUCAGUUUGUUUUUGAAAGAGUUAAAAAGGUCAAAAACACGUUUUAAGCUAUUUCACUUUAUUGAGUUUUAUACAUAACGUAUUGAGAAUAAGAGUUUUCUAUCUGAACUAUCAUCUAAUGAUUAGGAAACACAUUUAGAUGUUGACUAGACCAAAUGUUUGUCUAGAAAUGCUUCUAGCCACAUCUGUCGAUAAAAUUUUCAUCUACCUAACAUAUAUAAUGACUCUCUUUGUUUGGCACGAUAAUUUUUUUAAUCGGCUUUUUUACAAUCUUAAAUUCUCACCUUUCAAGUCGAAGAAAUCAAUGUCACGCCAAAAGAGACCACGGCUAAGAAGGUGGAGAAGAUGAUGGUGGAUGUCAUAGUUAAAAUAAAUUAAAUUAAAUUAUAUGGUAAUAGUUUUAACCUUUAACCUUAACUUUUAACCUAAUAUUGAUUUAUUUAAAUUUGUCACGGUGAAAUUAUUUUUUCACGUGGAGUGUCACAUGAUUAUAUAUUUAGACAAAAAAGAGAUUACACACAUUAUUAGAAAUUAAUCGAGCUGUGUUUUGCUAACUAUUGAGUGAUAAUUCAGAUAGGAAACUCAUACUCAGUAAUUCAAGUAUAAAGCUCAAAAAUUUGGAUAGUUUAAGUGUUUAUAACUCUUAAAUAUUAAAAGGAACAAUUCAAACUCAACAGGACGAAUACUAUAUUUGUAUACUAAUAAUGUGUGUGAGUAACUCGGUGGAGGACAAAAAGUAGAAAGUGAGGUAGAAAUUAAAAAUAAUUCGGAUAUGUAAAGAGUAUAUGCACAAAUGCUUCUUAUGCGGAGGUGUGAGUAUAGGAGAGGUUGACUAUGAAUGAACUUAGGAGAGGAGGAGGUAGAUCGAAAAAGUAUUGGAGAGAGGUAAUUAUUAGAUAGGACAAUUUCAAUUUAUCGAGAACAUGACCUUAGAUAAGAGGUUGUAAAGUACACAAAUUAGAGUGGAAGGUUAGCAGGUAAUAGCACGUUGUCUUACUUAUCUUUUCAUACUAGGAGUCGUACGUAAUAUUACUUUUGUAGUUUCAUGUCCUUUUAAUUAUGUUAGUAUUUGAUUUUCUUGUACUUCGAUAAUGUUAUGCUUAUGUUUCUUUCUUCUUCUUUUUUUUAAGAAUAUUUUGACAUGCUUUCUAUAAUAUUUUACCAUGAAUUCUUCAUUUUUCUUGAUUUACUUUAAAAUAUAUUUUUUUGAGACAAGGGUCUAUCAAAAAUAGUUUCUCUAUCUUUCAAGGUAAGGUUAAAGUAUGUUACAGGACAACGACUAAUGCAAGCAAUAAUAACUAAAAGAAAGAAACUCAAGUUCCUAUUAAAAAUAGAUUUUUUCAUGUUUAGUUGAUCAAAAUGUGAUAUUUUCUCUUUAAAAACAAGUUUAGGAAAGUAUUUAUAACUAAUGCAUGACAAACAAUAGUAUUAGUAAUGCAAAGAUUUUUUUAUGCAUGCAUUAACCUAGUUAAAGACACAAUUGUUUCUUAAAACUUUUUUCACUUUCUUUUCACCUUAUUUUCGGAGUGUAUUUUUUAUAAAUGAAUUAGAGUAUUUUAAAAUGUAUAAAUUAUAGGAACCACAUAUUAUAAGUACUAAAUAACAUCCUAUCCCUUCUAGUUUUCUAUUUACCAAAAACCCCUUAAAAAUUAUGUUUGCGGAUACAUAGCGUUGUGCACGGGAUACAUUAGGUUUGAUACCUUUCACAUAGCGGGAUACAUAGCGUUGUGCACGGAAUACAUAGCGUUUGAUACAUUCCACAUAGCGGGAUACAUAGUGUUGUGCACGGGAUACAUAGGUAAACUAAGGGAUUUUUGAAAAUUUUGAAAUAAGUAGGGAUAAAUGGAUAUUAAGGUAAGUAAAAGAGUGUAGUUAAGUAAUUUGUCCUUUAAAAAUUAUGCAAUACAUAUAUUUUUAAUUAAUAUACCAAAUCAAAUAGUGUAUCAAAAAUAUUCUUUUCAUAACUAAUACCAAUAUUACUAAUGUCAACAUUACUAGUUCUUAUUCAACACUAUUUUUAUACAUCCUACCAAACGACUUCGAAAUAUUUUAUUAAAUAACACAUAUAAAUACUUUUGAAUAAUAAUUUUUAUUUACUUAUCAAACACUAAAUAAUUAUUAUUAUUUCCCUAGAAAAAAUUUUAGAAAACAUUUUCAUUUGUACCAAUCACACUUUUUUUUCCCCACUAGAUAUCACCCAUAUUAAAGUCAAACUAUUUUAACUUCGUACCACGACAUAAGACCCCAUUAAAAGAAGAGUAAAUUUCAGAAAUAACAACGAUAAUAAACAUAACAAGACUCUAUAACAAUAAUUUCAGUAAUUGUGCUCUGUAACUAUAGUUUUGUUUGCUAUGUACGCUACAGUUUAUAUAUUUCACUUUCCCGUUUGUAUAUGACCAAAAUAUCCAAUUACGUUCAUUAAUAGAAAAAUAUUAAAUUAGUAAAUUCAAGACUUUUUCAAGUUUGAAAGCAAAGAUUUGUUUUGAGCACCAAGUCUAGUCAUUUAUAGAGAAGUAUCCAAUCUCUAAUUCAAUAUAAAACUACAAAAAUAGUAAAAAAAAUAAAAAUCAAACACCUUCCUAGUUACUUCCAUCAGAACUCUUCAUUUGUGUUUCAAAUAAUGUAUACUUUGGUUUCCACAUAUACGCCUAAGAUUCUUUUUUACCUUUUCAUCCCACUUUUGAUAUCCAUAUUAAAUGAUUAAAUUUUAAUUCAUGUCGAAAAAUUCAACCAUAGUGUGUAAAACCUCGUUAACAAAAACAUUUCACACACAGGAUUCAAAUUCAAAAACUUUAUUUGAAGGAGUUAAUAAUUUCAUACUCAAAACUCGAAUUCGAAAUCUUUUUUUCUGAAAGAGUCGUAACUGUAUACUCAAAACUCAAACUCAAAAGUAGCGAUUUCAUACUUAAGGCUCAAACUCAUAAUUGUUUGUAAGGAGUACUUACGACUGCACCAUUUUUUUUUAAACCGGUUAUAUGCCUAAAAUUCCACGUAAAGGAAGCGGUCAACUAACUCCUUCGAAUUUGUCAUCACCUACUUCACCUUCCUUUCCCCUUUUCUCUUUCAAAUAUCUAUAUAAUCUAAGCUACUUUACCCCAAAUUUUCAACAAAUAGUUCAAUUUUCUUGAUUCAAUCGUCACAAAUCCCAAGAAAACCAAUUCUUGCAAUAUUUUGGGACUUACCCAAGUUCUUGAAUUUGAGUUUUUACAGGACAAAAAAAAAACAGAGCACAAAUAUGAAUAAACUUUUAACAACUUUAUUAUUUUCAUCAAUCUUAAUUUCAACUCUAUUUUCUACUAGUUAUGGUCAGAAUCAAAAUUGCUCUGCUUUUGCAUUCAGAAAUAACCAAAUAUUUGCAACUUGUAAUGCUCUGCCUCUACUAAACUCUGUUCUUCAUUGGAGUUACCAUCCAGAUAACCAUACAGUUGAUCUUGCUUACAGACAUGGAGGUGUACCAAAUACAGAUUGGGUAGCUUGGGGUUUAAAUAUUGACGGAACAAGGAUGGUUGGUUCACAAUGUUUAGUUGCAUUUAGAAAUUCUAGUGGAGAAAUUCAUGCUUAUACUUCCCCUGUUUCUAGUUAUGGAACUCAGUUAGCAGAGGGGGCUUUGAGUUUCAAUGUUCCGAGAAUUGGAGCUGAGUAUUCGAAUAAUGAGUUUAUUAUUUUUGCAACUUUGGAACUUCCUGCUGGAAGGACUAGUUUUAAUCAAGCUUGGCAAAAUGGUGCUGUUUCUGGUCAGGCUUUGACUGCUCAUGUUCAGUCUGGUGAUAAUAUGAGGUCUUUUGGAAGUAUUGAUUUUGCUAAUGGAGAGUUAGGUGGUGGUGGUAGCUCAGUUACUUCUAGACAACGUAGAAGAAAUGUGAGUUUUCGCAUACCCUUUCUUUAUUUCGUUGAAAUUUAAUUUAUAUAUACUGACAGUAGGUAUCGAUUAGAGUUGGUUUGGAUAACAGGCAUGCCUAAAAUUCCACGUAAAGGAAGCGGUCAACUAACUCCUUCGAAUUUGUCAUCACCUACUUCACCUUCCUUUCCCCUUUUCUCUUUCAAAUAUCUAUAUAAUCUAAGCUACUUUACCCCAAAUUUUCAACAAAUAGUUCAAUUUUCUUGAUUCAAUCGUCACAAAUCCCAAGAAAACCAAUUCUUGCAAUAUUUUGGGACUUACCCAAGUUCUUGAAUUUGAGUUUUUGCUGAACAAAAAAAACAGAGCACAAUUAUGGAUAAACUUUUAACUUCAUUAUUUUCAUCAAUCUUGAUUUUAGGUCUAUUUUAUACUAGUUAUGGUCAGAAUCAAAAUUGCUCUGCUUUUGCAUUCAGAAAUAACCAAAUAUUUGCAACUUGUAAUGCUCUGCCUCUACUAAACUCUGUUCUUCAUUGGAGUUACCAUCCAGAUAACCAUACAGUUGAUCUUGCUUACAGACAUGGAGGUGUACCAAAUACAGAUUGGGUAGCUUGGGGUUUAAAUAUUGACGGAACAAGGAUGGUUGGUUCACAAUGUUUAGUUGCAUUUAGAAAUUCUAGUGGAGAAAUUCAUGCUUAUACUUCCCCUGUUUCUAGUUAUGGAACUCAGUUAGCAGAGGGGGCUUUGAGUUUCAAUGUUCCGAGAAUUGGAGCUGAGUAUUCGAAUAAUGAGUUUAUUAUUUUUGCAACUUUGGAACUUCCUGCUGGAAGGACUAGUUUUAAUCAAGCUUGGCAAAAUGGUGCUGUUUCUGGUCAGGCUUUGACUGCUCAUGUUCAGUCUGGUGAUAAUAUGAGGUCUUUUGGAAGUAUUGAUUUUGCUAAUGGAGAGUUAGGUGGUGGUGGUAGCUCAGUUACUUCUAGACAACGUAGAAGAAAUGUGAGUUUUCGCAUACCCUUUCUUUAUUUCGUUGAAAUUUAAUUUAUAUAUACUGACAGUAGGUAUCGAUUAGAGUUGGUUUGGAUAACAGGCACAAAGCAAUUGCUCACUGCUCCGGCUGCCUUCUUGGCAGGUGGAGCGCUUAUCAUCCUGACUUUUCUCUCUUCUCGGACACUCUUAUUGCCAUAGUUAUAGGAAAUGGGAGUAUUGAUUUUUACACUAAUAGUGUUAUUUAAUCUGUUUGUUUCGUACAAGGGGUAAAGAGAUAAUUAAUCAUGAGAUUGAUUUUAGGAUGAGUUUAUUUGCGGGAUAACUUGUUUUCCAACCAAAUGAACCCUUAUAAUAUCAUAACCUAGUUUAAUAGACUCGAUUGAAUUCAUGCAUAACCUAUGAUCUCGAAGGUCCAAUUGAUUCAAUCGUAAGUUGAACUCAUCAAAUUUAAAUUGUGGAAUUGAAUUCUAAUUUUAGGUGAUGUGAUACAACGCGAAAACUACAUACAAAUUGGGGUCAACUAUAUGAAUCCUUGCUGACCAUAUUACUCAUUUUUGUAUACACUACCCCCAACAAAAUAAUUAGAAGCAACAAGGAAUUUGACAUGUUUGAUAUCUUGAAAAUUUGACAGGUUCAUGGAGUAUUGAAUGCAGUAAGUUGGGGAGUGUUAAUGCCAAUGGGAGCAGUAUUUGCAAGGUACUUGAAGGUUUUCAAAGCAGCGAAUCCAGCGUGGUUUUAUAUACAUGUUGCUUGUCAAACUUCUGCCUAUAUUGUUGGCAUUGCUGGAUGGGGAACUGGUCUCAAACUUGGCAGUGAUUCUACGGGUAUCGAAUUCACUACUCACAGGAACAUUGGCAUCACUCUCUUUUGCCUCGGAACUCUUCAGGUAACCAUCUAAACGGCAUUAACUAUAAAUCUUGAAUUCACUUAUGCAAGCACUUGUACACACAUAAAAAUACCGGUCCCUUAAAUAAAGAGCAACAAAAUAUCCCCCUUUUUGGCUUAAUACAUAGGCACCUCCCUCGUACUUGCCCCAUUUUUUUUCAUUUAGACACCUGAACUAAGGAUUAUACCCGACCUUCAUUGUUACUAAUUUGUAUGAUUACAAACUUUGUAGGUAUUUGCUUUGCUUCUGAGGCCAAAGCCAGACCACAAGUACAGAUUAUACUGGAACAUCUACCACCAUGCUGUUGGAUACGCGGUAAUAAGUCUGGCCAUCACCAAUGUUUUCCAAGGAUUUGAUGCAUUGAAUGGACAGAAGAAUUGGAAGAGGGCUUACACUGGUGUGAUCAUAGCCAUAGGUGCCAUUGCUGUUUUAUUAGAAGCCUUUACUUGGUUCAUUGUCAUCAAAAGGAAAAAAACAGACUCUAACAAGCACACACAAAAUGGAACAAAUGGUACUGUUAAUCCUUAUGGAAAUGGGACUCAUCAACAGGCAUAAGUUAACUUAAAUAAUGUCACUUUGAACAUUUUUGUAUGUUUAUAUGUUUUUUGUUGUUUGGUCAGAUUUUGGUUCUUUUUUUCCUUCUUUUUAAUCUUUGCAGAUUGAUAUAUAUUCUUGUAUACAUCAUAUAUGUUGAGAGACCACCUAUUUGUGGUUUUAUUUAUUACUACUAGUAUCCUUUUUUCAUUCACUUUCAAUGUUUGAAUUUAAUUUCUGUACACUAGCAAUAUAACUUGCGAGAAGAGUAACUACUUGAGACAUGCUCAAGUUAAUAGCUUCGAAAUAUAUAAUAAUAAUAAUAAUAACCUACUAUAACUAUUUAAAGUUAUUCGAUAGUGUAAAUUUUUUGUCACCAAGUCCUGAAAACAGCCUCUAGCAGAAAAGUAAGAUAAGACUGCAUACAAUAGACCCUUAUAGUUGGGCCCUUUAUCGUGCUGCCUUUUCGUCAUAAGCAAUCCACAAAAAAAAAGGUUAAAAGAAUUAAUAGUUUGCCAAGUGGCAUACUGUCAUCAGGUUAGAAAAAGAGCAACUUUCACAUAUAACAAAUAUAAAAAUCACAUUUGUAUGUUAUAGCUAUAGUUUGCAUAAUUGCGCCCCAUAGCAAACAUAAAGUGUGCUAUGACUAUUAAUAUGUAUAUUUCGCUAUACAUAUACAAAAGAAGAAAAUGUAUAAUCUGUUUCGGUAUACAUAUACAAAAGAAUCAAUUGCAUAAUUUGUGUUUGUAUAAAACGAGAAAGAGAGAAAGACAAAAGAAACUGGGCAAGGGAAGAUCGUAUUUGUAUAAUCAUAAGUGUAUAGGACGAAAAUAUAUGUAUUUGUAUUUAUAUAUACAAUUUUCUCGCGCUUUAUACAAACACAAACACAUUUUAUAUGUUUGUGUUUGUAUAAAAACGAGAAAGAGAGAAAGACAAAAGAAACUGGGCAAGGGAAGAUCGUAUUUGUAUAAUCAUAAGUGUAUAGGACGAAAAUAUAUGUAUUUGUAUUUGUAUAUACAAUUUUCUCUCGCUUUAUACAAACACAAACACAUUUUAUAUGUUUGUGUUUGUAUAAAAGCGAGAGGGGCGAGUGAGACUGCCCAGCGAAAACGAGAGUGGCGAGCGAGAUUCACCAGGGAGAGAGGCGAAAUAGCAACAGUUUCCUAUGGGGUACAAUUAAAUCAAACUAUGGUUAUAACAUUUAAUUUGAAUUAAUAGUUUGCUAUUAUAUACUAUUUUCCCUUAGAAGAACAUGAAUUAGGUCUUCUAGAAGUUGAGACUUAAAAAAUAAAUUACUCCCUCCAUUUCAAAUUAAUUGAAUUGUUGAGGUGUUUCACACCCUUUAAGAAAAGAAGAUUAAGAUAUAAAUUAGGCAUAACUUUCCAUUUUUACCCUUAUUAAUUAUUGUCAAAUUUGUGAUUAAAAUAACUAAACAUUAAUUAAUAACUAAUUCUAAUACUAACUAAUGAAGGGUAAAAUUGGAAGAACAUUCUAAGAAUAGCUUUGAAGAUUGAAUAAUUAAGUUAAUUUAAAAAAUAAAAAAUAUCUCAACAAUUCAAUUAAUAUGAAAUCGAGGGAGUAAAGAAGUGGAAUAGGAAGAGGCAAAGUUGAGAAGCACUAAUUGCAAAUGCAAGCAAAGUCGUUCUCUAGAAGAAUGCUCCAUUAUUAGUCAAUACCUGAUUUGCCAAUUUUUUUAAAAUCAAGUUGACCUAAUUAGUACGAAAUUAGCAGUACUUUUAUAUUCAGUUUGUUUUUGAAAGAGUUAAAAAGGUCAAAAACACGUUUUAAGCUAUUUCACUUUAUUGAGUUUUAUACAUAACGUAUUGAGAAUAAGAGUUUUCUAUCUGAACUAUCAUCUAAUGAUUAGGAAACACAUUUAGAUGUUGACUAGACCAAAUGUUUGUCUAGAAAUGCUUCUAGCCACAUCUGUCGAUAAAAUUUUCAUCUACCUAACAUAUAUAAUGACUCUCUUUGUUUGGCACGAUAAUUUUUUUAAUCGGCUUUUUUACAAUCUUAAAUUCUCACCUUUCAAGUCGAAGAAAUCAAUGUCACGCCAAAAGAGACCACGGCUAAGAAGGUGGAGAAGAUGAUGGUGGAUGUCAUAGUUAAAAUAAAUUAAAUUAUAUGGUAAUAAUUUUAACCUUUAACCUUAACUUUUAACCUAAUAUUGAUUUAUUUAAAUUUGUCACACAGUGCCCCCAAGGCAAUGGGGCGUCAGUACACAAUAAUGUACAGAGUAUGAAAGGCAAUAGACUAUGAUGAUGAAUACUGAUAUACUGGAAUAAUCUGAUAAAUAAAUCAAGGAUAAGAUAAGGGUACUGACCUGCUCCUAAAUCUAAACCUAUCAAAAAUAAUAAAACAACAAUCUAACUAAGCCCCCAUAAGCUCGGCAGGUACAAACAACACACAAGACCACCUACUCAGGCCCUCAUAAGCCCGGAAGGUGCCAAUCAACCUAUAUACCCCUAUCGGUAGUCCCUUAGUCCCGUAGGCAGUCAUAUAGCCCUCUUAGGCAUUAAUAUAGCCCCAUAGGAAGCAAAUAGCUCUCUCGGGCAUCAACAUAGCUUAUAGACAACUCAUAGCCCUCUUAGGCAACAACAUGGCCCUGUAGGAAGCACAUAGCCUUCUUAGGCGUCAAUAUAGCCCUGUAGGCAACUCAUAGCCCUUCUAAGCAUCAAUAUAGCACUGUAGGCAACUUAUAGCCCUUUUUAGGCAUCCAUAUAGCCCUGUAGGCCGAACAUAGCCCUUCUAGGCAUAGAUCACAUUCCUGCAGCUAACCACAAUAGCCCAAGGGCAGCAAUACAAUCCAAUCGCUAAAGCGAGCAAUUAGUAUAAGUCAACCUAUACAAAUAGCCUCUAAGUCGUGUCCAACAUUAGAGACGCUACUAAUUGAAUAAGAAUCCUGACAAGGGAGGAUUAUAUCAACUCGAGCAGCCAACAAUCAACAAUCACGGCUACAAGUAUAUCAAGGAUAACAACCCAAAUACAUUGCUUCUAAGCUUUAAGGAAACAUGCCGUAAAUAGGGAAUAACCUUAACAUACAUUUUUCAUUGAAUUCACGUGUCCUAAUAACUUUAAUCACAACCCCCCUUGAUACUACAAUAAGGCAAGAUCAUAAUCAACACAAAAAAAUAGAAGAUACAACGAAAAUUCGAUAAAAGAUAUGUAUUUCCGUCGCAAAUUGCUAUUUGCGACUUAUCAAAGCUAGAGUCGAUGAAAGAAGGGUCUUACCUCGAUCUUAAGGUCAUAAUACGCUUCAAAACCUUCAAAUAUAUCCAAACCCUUGCUGUCCCAACACUAAAGUGUGAUAUGCUACGCAAUNNNNNNNNGUUCUUCACUAAGGAAAAUGAAGGAAAAAUGAAGAAAAGUUGAAGAAGAUGAUAUAUAUAAAGUUCCACCGACCUAGGGGACCCACCUCACCUGCCUGCUUACACAGUCUUGCAAAAAUACGAAUAUUUCUCCAUUCUGAAGUCGUAUGAAUGAACGGGUUGAUGCAUUUGGAAACUAGACUCGUAGACCUUCGAUUUCAUAGGUCGCGAGGACCAUAACUCUUAAUAGAUUGGGAGAAAACGUCCGAGAUAUUUGACCCAAAUUUCAGACAAAUCUUUAAAAAGGAAUUUACGGUAACUUUCGCCAACUUUUAUUUUGUCACUUACCUAACUUCAAAACUUGAGAUACAACACUUAAACACUUAAAAUAUCACAUAAAACAUCAUUCUUAAUUUAUUACCCACCCUAAUGGUCUUUUCACGAAGAUACGAGUCAAUUUAUACGUUUCGAAAAGUCGGGUUGUUACACCAAUUUUCGUGCCCUUUCCAGAUCCUUUAGCUGGCUUCUGCAGAAACUUCAAAUUGAAAAAAUUGAUGUCACACGAAGAAGAUGACAUAGUUUUGUGGAUCACCAUUGUGACCGAACCAAGCUUCAAAAAAGUAGUCUCAUGCGUUGGAUUUUUUAAAUUUUAUAACUCAAGUUCAUCCUUUGAAUUUUAUUUUCUUUUAUCACGGUGUGAAAAUAAUGGAAAGAAAAAGCGAUUUGUUGUUAACAAAGCAAAUUCUUUGCUGAUUGAGAAAAUGUUUGUUGCAGAAUUAAGUGAGAAAGAAAGAGAUGAGAGAGGAGAGAGAAAGAGAAAUAGUAAUAACCAUGGUUAAUGAUAUUUGACCAUGAUUUAAAGACCGCUUUAUUUAAAUAAAUAUGGAUUUUAAAAUUUACAAAUGUCACUAAAUUAAAUAUGCGCUGGACUAACCGAAAAGAUUAGGUUAGAAGAAACAUCAAUUGGGCCUUCUAGAAAAUUGAAACUUAAAAAACAAAUUAAAGAAGUGGAAUAGGAAGAGGCAAAGUUGAGAAGCACUAGUUACAAAUGCAAGCAAAGUCGCUCUCUAGAAGAAUGCUCCAUUGUUAGUCAAUACCUAAUUUGCCAAAAUAUAUUAAUCAAGUUGACUUAAUUAGUACGAAAUUAGCAGUACUAUUUAUAUUCAGAUUGUUUUUGAAAGAGUUAAAAGGAUAAAAACACGUCUUAGGCAAUUUCAUUAAAAAUUAAUCGAGGUGUGUUUCACUAAUUAUAUAGUGAUAGUUCAGAUAAGAAACUCACACUUAGUAAUUUAAGUAUAAAAAACUCAAAAAAUUCGAAUAGUUAAAGUGCUUUUAACUCUUAAAUCUUAAAAGGAAAAAUUCAAAUUCAACAUGAUGAAUACUAUAUUUUUAUACUAAUAAUGUGUGCGAGUGUGGGAGUACCUCGGUGGAGGACAAAACUUAGAAAGUGAGGCAGAAAUUGAAAAUAAUUUGAAUAUGUAAAGAGUAGAUGUACAAAUGCUUCUUAUGCAGAGGUGUGAGUAUGAAAGAGGUUGACUAUGAAUGAAUUUAGGAGAGGAGUGGGUAGAUCGAAGAAGUAUUGGAGAGAGGUAAUUAGACAGAAUAUGAUACAAUUUUAACUUAUCAAAAACAUGACCUUAAAUAAGAGGUUGUAAAGUACACAAAUUAGAGUGGAAGAUUAGUAGAUAAUAGCGCGUUUGUCUUACUUAUCUUUUCAUAGUAGGAGUCGUACAUAAUAUUACUUUUGUAGUUUCCUAUCCUUUUAAUUAUGUUAGUAUUUGAUUUUCUUGUACUUCGGUAAUGUUAUACUUAUUGUUUCUUUCUUCUUCUUUUUUCUAGAAUAUUUUGACAUGCUUUUGAUAGUAUUGUACCAUGAUUUCUUCAUUACUAUUUUUUUUUGUUGAUUUGCUUUUAAAAUAUAUAUAUUUUUUAAGUCAAAGGUCUAUUAAAAAUAAUUUUUCUACCUUUCAAGGUAGGGCUAAAGUUUGUUACAAGGCAACGACUAAUGCAAGCAAUAAUAACAAAAAGAAAGCAACACAAGUUCUUAUAAAAGACAACUUUUCUCAUUUUUAGUUGACCAAAAUGUGAUAUUAAAAACAAGUCCAGGAAAGUAUUUAUAACUAAUGCUUGACAAACAAUAAUAUUGGUAAUGCAAAUUUUUUUUAAUGCAUGCAUACACAUGGUUAAAGACAUUAUUGUUCCUUAAAAAAAAAAUUCACUUUCUUUCCAUUGUAUUUUUAUAAAUGAACUAAAGUAUUAAAAAUUAUGUAAUACAUAGUAUUUUUAAUUAAUACACCAAAACAAAUAGGGUAUAAAAAAUAUUCUUUUCAUAACUAAUACCAAUAUUAUUAAUGUCAACAUUACUAGUUCUUAUUCAACACUAUUUUUAUACAUCCUACCAAACGACUUCGAAGUAUUUUAUUAGAUGACACAUAUAAAUACUUUUAAAUAAUAAUUUUUUAUUUACUUAUCAAACACUAAAUAAUAAUUACUAUUUCCCUAUAAAAGUUUUUAGAAAACUUUUUCCUUUGCAGUCACACUUUUUUUUUGUUACUAUUUUAAAUUCGUGCCACCACAUAAGACCCCAUUAAAUGAAGAGUAAAUUUUAGAAAUAAAAACGAUAAUAAGCAUAAUAAGACUCUAUAACAAUAUUUUUGGUAAUUGCGCUUCAUAACUAUAAUUGUGUUUGCUAUGUAGGUUGCCGUUUGUAUAUUUCGUUUGCCCAUUACAAACAUGAUAAGUAUAUACAAAUGGAUGAUGUGGUUCGUAUAUUUCGCUUGCGAAUAUACAAACAAGAUAAGUAUAUACAAAUUCUAUAUUUAUACAUAUAUGAAUUUUUCAAAACUCCAUUUAUAUAUUUCGCUUGCCAAUAUACAAAUAAGUAAUUUAUUAUGAAUUUUUUAUAUACAGUAUACAAAUAGCUAAUAUUAGCAUAUACAAAUUCUGAAUUUGACCCGCCCAAGUGAAAUAUGAGGAAACAAAAGCUCCACCACAGAAAUCACUAGACCCACAGCAAGAUCAUUACCCAAAAGCAGCAGCUCAAAUGAAGUACGUUGGCGCUCUGGGGAAAACAAUGGCGUUAUCACUAUCUUCACGCUCUCUCUUCACUUCCUCCUAUAAAUCCCUUUCUCCUCUCAAAAACCCCUUUUCUUCCUUCCCAAUUCGACAAUAUCGUAUUCUUUUUGUUCUUGAUCCCUGCAAGUACAACAACAAAACUACUAGGUACAAGUUGCCAAGACGUCGUAGUUCUUUCUCUACCCAUGCUUCCGCCGCCCUACAAGAAGCUCCUGCCCCAAAUGAGAAAAUUGUUCUCCCAACUAACGAGUCAUCCGAUGGGCUCCUUCGAAUUCGCCAUACGGUAAUGUUAAUAUUGGGAAAUUGGGAUGGGUUUAUGGGUAUUGAUGAAAUUGAAUUGUUUCCAGUUUUAUUGUCGUUAAAUUUGAAAAUAUUAAGUGGGUUGAUUACAGAAAUUAGUAAUGCUUAGUAAAUUGUUGCUCAUUUUAAUAUCACUCAAAAUGCUGUUUUUAUACUGUUUUCUAGAUUACAGAAAGCUAAUGUUCUUGCGCCUAAAGACAUUUAUUGUGUUGAAGUAUUCUCCUUGUACAUUUGUUGGAUUUGGGAAGUUUGAUUUUUUUUUAUAAACGUGGUGUCCAGGCCAGCUUGUGUGCACCUUGACUAAUAUCAUAGGUAACUUUGUAUACCAAUGUUAGAAUAGAUGGAAAGAAAUCAGCUAAUGUUGAUUUGGGAAGUUUUUUUCUUUUAUGAUACUCUAUUAAUGUUGUUGGAGAUGAGGUUUGUUUUGUCUGUUGCUUGUUUUUAGCGAGGACUGGCGUGUUUACUGGUUCAUUAUGUAGAAUGCUGAGUUUUUAUAUUUUAAAUGUGACCAGUAGAUUUUAGUAAUAUAAAUUACCAUUCUGAGGGUGGGUUGAUGUGUUUCUUGCUGCAGUGUGCUCAUGUUAUGGCCAUGGCAGUCCAAAAACUCUACCCGAAUGCAAAAGUGACAAUUGGACCCUGGAUUGAUAAUGGUUUUUAUUAUGAUUUUGAUAUGGAGCCUUUGACUGACAGGGACCUGAAGAGGAUUAAGAAGGAAAUGGUAAGCUAACUUGUGCUUUUUAGUGAUUGUUAGAAAGUUACUCCUUAGUAGUCCCUCUGCCUCCCCACAAGGAUCCACCCCCCUAAAACAAGAAUUAAAAAAUAGUUUGAUCUUGUCAAUGAAGCUUGGAUUUUUGGUUAGAGAAUUUACAUCUUAAAUUUUCUCUAGGAUCGAAUUAUCAGCCGAAACUUGCCUCUUGUUAGAGAAGAAGUUAGCCGGGAGGAAGCUCAGAGAAGAAUAAUGUCUAUCAAUGAACCUUACAAGAUAGAAAUUUUAGAGAGCAUAAAGGAGGAACCAAUUACGAUAUAUCAUAUUGGUAAGACUUCGAUUAAUUGCUUUUGUUUAGUUUGAGAAACUUACUACAGCAUACUUAGUGUAAUCCCACAAGUUUGGGGAACUUGAAUAUAAAAUAUUACUUUAGAAUAUUGUCCAUGUUUUCUAACUAAGACGAUAUGAAUUUUUACUUUUUGAUUGUAUAUGACUCAUAAAUGAGAAUGAUCAUGGGGAGUUAAUUUGAGAACCAUAAACCCUAUAUAUUUCAGGACUAUACCCGGUGACUCGUUGAAAUGAGUAUCUUACGUCAUCAGAUUGAUCUCAAUAGAAGAUUGUGGUAUUCCACUUGAGCAUUUUGAGUGUAUGAACCUUAUCUAUUUCUUGAGGAUCUACUAUUAUACAUGUUGACGUUAACUUAGUAGCUGUCUUGAUGUCAUUGUUAUUUAACAAAUGAUCAUAUGGUAGAGUGCUAGACUAAUUCGUGGAGGAAAAUUUUUGGUCUUUGCUGCUAAUUACAUCCUUCCUGAAAGUGUUUCAAGUGGAAUUCUCAGUACCCACCCUAGUUAUUGCUGCAGGUUGUUCUGAAUAUAUCAUUCUUUUGUUGAAUUAUAUAGUUACUUCUUAAUAUUGCUAAAACAUCAGGUUAAAAUUAUUUUCAUGUCAAGUAUUAUUUUUCAUUAUGUUCUGUGCUAAAUUCACUUAUACUUGUAACCAAGUCAAAUAUUUUUCACUUUGAGGGAAUUUCAUUUCUCGAUAUAGAAACUUACGGUUGUGGAGGGCCAAAUUGAUAUCAUGGGAAGUGUUCCCUGAACAGGUAAGUGAAGUUUCGGGGUUCCAUCACAAAGGCUGUUAAGAAAGAUAUUGGCUCACUUUAUGUCAUAAUGCACGAAUUGAAUCUAGUGCUUAGAUGGGAAGAUGUACCAUACUGAUAUUGUAAGAGUACAAUGAGUUCUGCAAGUUAAGUUGUUAUUAAUAUGUUAGUGCUAAAAAGAAAGGGAAACUGAAUCUUGCACCUGGACGCCAGAUGACUUGAACCUGGCUGGACCCUAGAUAGUUGAUUUGUAGCAAAAUCUUACUUCUAAUAUUCCUGAACUUCCACCUCUUACUAAAACAUUGCCAUUGAAGCCUUAUACCCCACCCUGGAAGCUUUAACAAUUUUGCAGAGGUCUGAGGUGUGAGAAUAUGAGUCGGUAAGAUUAGAGUCAGCCAAAUCAACUCUCUGGGAUCUGGUCUCAAUCCUUGUGGUACCAGAUCCGAGUCAUUAGUCCUUCCUGUGCAAGAAUCAAGCUUACAUGCUGUUAUUGGUGCUAACAAUUAUUGUUACUAAAAUACUUUUCAACUAAAAAGUGCUUCAGAAAAUGUUGAGAAAAUGUAGAAUAGGUGAACUUACUUAAAGAAUUUACCAGCUGCUUCUCUAGAACAUCAUUUUUACAGCAUUAUUUUAUAUAUAGUUGACAGAGUAGGAUCGAUCGAAGAAGGGAUUAAGACUUCUUAGAGGUGGACAAAGAAGGUUAAGCUUAGACUUUUCUAGCUAAAAUUAUCCAACAAAAUGUAGGUCUUCAGCCAAUAUUUGCAUAUCCAUCGUUUAUAAACUAUAAAGCACCCACGAAAGCUUCAUCUCGUAUUUUGCAGAACUUGAUCUGAUUGUAGAAACAUCCACAUAAACCUAUUGCUUUAACAACAAAGUAUAUUUUACUUUUUCUCAUGGUCAAAUGCUUUCUUUUCGUAGGUGAUGAAUGGUGGGAUCUUUGUGCGGGACCUCAUGUUGAAACUACAGGAAAGAUUAACAAAAAAGCUAUUGAGCUUGAAUCUGUUGCUGGUGCUUACUGGAGAGGAGAUGUAAAGAAACCAAUGCUCCAAAGGAUUUAUGGCACUGCAUGGGAGAAUGAGGACCAAUUAAAAGCAUACCUUCAUUUCAAAGAAGAAGCUAAACGGCGUGAUCACCGGCGAAUUGGCCAAGAUCUUGAUCUCUUUUCCAUACAGGCAGGUAUCUCUUUGAUUAACCCAUUUAUGAGACUUAUGAUGUAUAUAUACCCUUUUUUACGGAAUGAAAUUCAAUAACUUCUUUUUUGUUGUUGCAUAUGCUUGAAUUGAAACUAAAAUUGAUUGUAAAACUGGCAGGAUGAAGCUGGUGGAGGCUUAGUCUUCUGGCAUCCCAAGGGAGCUAUCAUUAGGCACAUAAUAGAAGAUACUUGGAAAAAGAUUCAUAUGGAGCGGGGCUACGAUUUGCUCUAUACUCCCCAUGUAGCGAAGGCAGAUCUUUGGAAGAUUAGUGGUCAUCUGGACUUCUACAAAGAGAAUAUGUUUGAUCAGAUGGAGAUUGAGGAAGAGCUUUUUCAGCUACGGCCAAUGAACUGCCCUUAUCAUGUAUUGAUCUAUAAGAGGCAGUUACACUCUUAUCGGGAUUUUCCGAUCAGAGUUGCAGAGUUGGGAACAGUGUAUAGGUAUGAGUUAUCUGGAAGCUUACAUGGGCUUUUCCGUGUAAGAGGUUUUACUCAGGUACGUUCCAAGCGUAAAAAUUUUAUUUACAUAAAGUCUCAACAUCUGUAUCCUUGAUUAGAACUAUCAUCCCUAAAAGGGAGCGGUUAUUGCAUCAAUUGUCUGAAAGAGAAGGAAUGAAGGGUGGUAACAAUGGGUCUUGCAUUUUAUUUGUGUUUUCCUGUGCAGUAACCACUAACCACAAUGACCUAUGUCUUAUGCAACAAUUAAUAUGAAUAAAUGAAGAUGGAUUUUCUAGAAGCCCAUUGUUGUGGAGCACAAACAUACUUGCUGUAGUUGAUAUAAGUGGUCUUUUUUCUCCUCUUGGAGGGCUAGAUUUUGUCUUGGUCUGCUUUGGGUUCUCUGGGACAUAGAGAACAUACCUAAUGUUGUUGAACAAAUCAGUACGUUCUCUCUUUAGGGGUUUAGUUUACCAUUGAG
This 34914-nucleotide long non-coding RNA is filed under the name Solanum tuberosum (potato). Its description in RNAcentral is "long non-coding RNA (STUB_LNC007590)". The record is from RNAcentral. Lineage: Eukaryota; Viridiplantae; Streptophyta; Magnoliopsida; Solanales; Solanaceae.